This 305-nucleotide ribosomal RNA is filed under the name uncultured bacterium. Its description in RNAcentral is "bacterial SSU rRNA". It matches the Rfam family "Bacterial small subunit ribosomal RNA", at positions 337 to 635 of the family's 1533-position model. The record is from RNAcentral.
UCCUACGGGGGGCAGCAGUAGGGAAUUUUCGACAAUGGGCGCAAGCCUGAACGAGCAAUGCCGCGUGAACGAGGAAGGUCUUCGGAUCGUAAAGUUCUGUUGAAGGGGAAAAAGAGCGGAGAGAGGAAAUGGUCUCCGAUUGAUAUUACCCUUCGAGGAGGUCACGGCUAACUACGUGCCAGCAGCCGCGGUAAUACGUAGGUGGCGAGCGUUAUCCGGAAUGAUUGGGCGUAAAGGGUGCGUAGGCGGCCUGCUAAGUCUGGAGUGAAAGGUACCGGCUCAACCGGUACAGGCUCUGGAAACUG